RNAcentral lists this ribosomal RNA (838 nucleotides) under marine metagenome. RNAcentral describes it as "bacterial SSU rRNA". It matches the Rfam family "Bacterial small subunit ribosomal RNA", at positions 8 to 896 of the family's 1533-position model. The record is from RNAcentral.
AGAGUUUGAUCAUGGCUCAGAACGAACGCUGGCGGAAUGCUUUACACAUGCAAGUCGAACGAGUACUUUUUACGAGUGGCGAACGGGUGAGUAACGCGUGGGAACCUACCUUGAGGUAAAGAAUAACUACAGGAAACUGUAGCUAAUACUUUAUGUGCCCUACGGGGGAAAGAUUUAUCGCCUUUUGAGGGGCCCGCGUCAGAUUAGCUUGUUGGUGAGGUAAUGGCUUACCAAGGCUAUGAUCUGUAGCUGGUUUGAGAGGAUGAUCAGCCACAUUGGGACUGAGACACGGCCCUGACUCCUACGGGAGGCAGCAGUGGGGAAUCUUGGACAAUGGGGGAAACCCUGAUCCAGCAAUUCCGCGUGAACGAUGAAGGCCUUAGGGUUGUAAAGUUCUUUUAGUAAGGAAGAUGAUGACGGUACUUACAGAAAAAGCUCCGGCUAACUCCGUGCCAGCAGCCGCGGUAAUACGGAGGGGGCAAGCGUUGUUCGGAAUUACUGGGCGUAAAGAGCGAGCAGGUGGUUCAUUAAGUCAAUUGUGAAAGCUCAAGGCUUAACCUUGAAAUUGCUUUUGAUACUGAUGAACUAGAGUUUGGGAGAGGAUAGUGGAAUUCUAAGUGUAGAAGUGAAAUUCGUAGAUAUUUAGAGGAACACCGAUAGCGAAGGCAACUAUCUGGCCCUUUACUGACACUCAGAAGCGAAAGCUUGGGUAGCAAACAGGAUUAGAUACCCUGGUAGUCCAUGCUGUAAACGAUGAGUGCUAGAUGUUAGAAGUUUACUUCUAGUAUCGAAGCUAACGCGUUAAGCACUCCGCCUGGGGAGUACGGCCGCAAGGCUA